Molecule: ribosomal RNA, 1388 nt
Filed under: uncultured bacterium
Lineage: Bacteria
Description: bacterial SSU rRNA
Rfam family: Bacterial small subunit ribosomal RNA
Source: RNAcentral
GAUAAACGCUGGCGGCGCGCAUAAGACAUGCAAGUCGAACGGAAGUCGUUAUAAAAAGGAUUGAAGAUUUAUCUGAUUGAGAUUUUAUAACAAUGGCUUUAGUGGCGGACUGGUGAGUAACGCGUGAGUAACCUGCCUAUCAGAGGGGAAUAACAGUGAGAAAUCAUUGCUAAUACCGCAUAUGCCAUAAACAUCACAUGAUGAAAGUGGGAAAGGAGCAAUCCGCUGAUAGAUGGGCUCGCGUCUGAUUAGAUAGUUGGUGGGGUAACGGCCUACCAAGUCGACGAUCAGUAGCCGGACUGAGAGGUUGAACGGCCACAUUGGGACUGAGAUACGGCCCAGACUCCUACGGGAGGCAGCAGUCGGGAAUAUUGCGCAAUGGAGGAAACUCUGACGCAGUGACGCCGCGUAUAGGAAGAAGGUUUUCGGAUUGUAAACUAUUGUCGUUAGGGAAGAUAAAAGACAGUACCUAAGGAGGAAGCUCCGGCUAACUACGUGCCAGCAGCCGCGGUAAUACGUAGGGAGCAAGCGUUAUCCGGAUUUAUUGGGUGUAAAGGGUGCGUAGACGGGAAAUUAAGUUAGUUGUGAAAUCCCUCGGCUCAACUGAGGAACUGCAACUAAAACUGAUUUUCUUGAGUGUUGGAGAGGAAAGUGGAAUUCCUAGUGUAGCGGUGAAAUGCGUAGAUAUUAGGAGGAACACCAGUGGCGAAGGCGACUUUCUAGACAAUAACUGACGUUGAGGCACGAAAGUGUGGGGAGCAAACAGGAUUAGAUACCCUGGUAGUCCACACCGUAAACGAUGGAUACUAGGUGUAGGAAGCGAUUAUGUUUUCUGUGCCGUCGCAAACGCAGUAAGUAUCCCACCUGAGGAGUACGGCCGCAAGGUUGAAACUCAAAGGAAUUGACGGGGGCCCGCACAAGCAGUGGAGUAUGUGGUUUAAUUCGAAGCAACGCGAAGAACCUUACCAGGGCUUGACAUAUACAGGAAUAUGUUAGAGAUAGCAUAGCUCUUCGGAGUCUGUAUACAGGUGGUGCAUGGUUGUCGUCAGCUCGUGUCGUGAGAUGUUGGGUUAAGUCCCGCAACGAGCGCAACCCCUGUUUCUAGUUGCCAGCACGUAAAGGUGGGAACUCUAGAGAGACUGCCGGUGAUAAAUCGGAGGAAGGUGGGGACGACGUCAAAUCAUCAUGCCCUAUAUGUCCUGGGCUACACACGUACUACAAUGGCUGUAACAGAGGGAAGCAACAUAGAGAUGUGAAGCAAAUCCCAAAAAGCAGUCUCAGUUCGGAUUGAAGGCUGAAAUUCGCCUUCAUGAAGCCGGAAUUGCUAGUAAUGGCAGGUCAGCAUACUGCCGUGAAUACGUUCCCGGGCCUUGUACACACCGCCCGUC